Molecule: ribosomal RNA, 292 nt
Filed under: uncultured bacterium
Lineage: Bacteria
Description: partial 16S ribosomal RNA
Rfam family: Bacterial small subunit ribosomal RNA
Source: RNAcentral
GUGCCAGCAGCCGCGGUAAUACGAAGGGGGCUAGCGUUGUUCGGAAUUACUGGGCGUAAAGCGCGCGUAGGCGGCGUGACAAGUUAGGCGUGAAAUGCCUGGGCUUAACCCAGGAACUGCGCUUAAGACUGUUAUGCUAGAGACUAGGAGAGGGUGGCGGAAUUCCCAGUGUAGAGGUGAAAUUCGUAGAUAUUGGGAAGAACACCGGUUGCGAAGGCGGCCACCUGGACUAGAACUGACGCUGAGGUGCGAAAGCGUGGGGAGCAAACAGGAUUAGAAACCCUGGUAGUCC